UAAAAAUGCGUUUUUUCAUCCCGACAUGGGACAAAUAUAUAGACCAACUAGGUCGCAACGCGUUUUUUCUUCCCGACAUGGGACAAGCAUAUAUUGACCAACUAGGUCUACAAAAUCGUAACAAUGCGAUAUUGCGAGCAUUGAGUAUUUUAGCGUAGCGAAAUACAUUAAAUUGAAAAGAUGUUUUAACCGUCCAAACCAAAAUUUUUAAAAUAAAAAUACGCCAUCCUUCUGUAAUUCUACUUUACAAUCUUUACCCUUUCUAUAAACUCUUCUGUAUUUCAAUGUCUUGUCUCAUUGUAGAUCAUAUACAUGUAAAUAUUUUUUUGACCUAUAUAUAUCAUUAAUUUUA
Molecule: non-coding RNA, 352 nt
Organism: Styela clava
Lineage: Eukaryota; Metazoa; Chordata; Ascidiacea; Stolidobranchia; Styelidae
Source: RefSeq, a predicted model, not a curated record